AUCUGGAGGGCUAAAAUCCCCUUAAAAAUUCAAAUUUUUCUUUGGCAGUUGUCUCAAGAUUCUGUCUUGACCAGGGAUGUAAUGAGCAGGAGGGGAUGGCUUGGGAGACCUGUAUGCUCCUUCUGUAAUGAGAAGGAAACAACACAACACCUUUUCUUCACUUGCCCCAUGGCUAGGGUGAUGUGGAGAACUGUGGGCUGUGUGCUGGGCACGGAUCGUUGUCCUAGCAACAUAUGGCAAUAUUUUCCUUGGUGUUAUACAUUCCUUCCUGACGGGGAAAGAUUCUAUACAUUUGGCCUUGCUGCUCUUUGUUGGGCAAUGUGGAAUAGUCGCAAAUAA
This 339-nucleotide ribosomal RNA is filed under the name Triticum aestivum (bread wheat). RNAcentral describes it as "partial small subunit ribosomal RNA". The record is from RNAcentral. Lineage: Eukaryota; Viridiplantae; Streptophyta; Magnoliopsida; Poales; Poaceae.